RNAcentral lists this ribosomal RNA (640 nucleotides) under Escherichia coli. RNAcentral describes it as "partial 23S ribosomal RNA". It matches the Rfam family "Bacterial large subunit ribosomal RNA", at positions 611 to 1251 of the family's 2925-position model. Lineage: Bacteria; Pseudomonadati; Pseudomonadota; Gammaproteobacteria; Enterobacterales; Enterobacteriaceae. The record is from RNAcentral.
UAUAAUGGGUCAGCGACUUAUAUUCUGUAGCAAGGUUAACCGAAUAGGGGAGCCGAAGGGAAACCGAGUCUUAACUGGGCGUUAAGUUGCAGGGUAUAGACCCGAAACCCGGUGAUCUAGCCAUGGGCAGGUUGAAGGUUGGGUAACACUAACUGGAGGACCGAACCGACUAAUGUUGAAAAAUUAGCGGAUGACUUGUGGCUGGGGGUGAAAGGCCAAUCAAACCGGGAGAUAGCUGGUUCUCCCCGAAAGCUAUUUAGGUAGCGCCUCGUGAAUUCAUCUCCGGGGGUAGAGCACUGUUUCGGCAAGGGGGUCAUCCCGACUUACCAACCCGAUGCAAACUGCGAAUACCGGAGAAUGUUAUCACGGGAGACACACGGCGGGUGCUAACGUCCGUCGUGAAGAGGGAAACAACCCAGACCGCCAGCUAAGGUCCCAAAGUCAUGGUUAAGUGGGAAACGAUGUGGGAAGGCCCAGACAGCCAGGAUGUUGGCUUAGAAGCAGCCAUCAUUUAAAGAAAGCGUAAUAGCUCACUGGUCGAGUCGGCCUGCGCGGAAGAUGUAACGGGGCUAAACCAUGCACCGAAGCUGCGGCAGCGACGCUGAUGCGUUGUUGGGUAGGGGAGCGUUCUGUAAGCCUG